GAACAGAGGACAAGUCCUGCUGACCCAGAAGGGAUAUUUUGGCGGACCAAAAUUUUGUAUUCCACACACAAUUUUUCAGCUUCUACUAGCUAGGAACUGGGAUAUGCAAAGCAACUUGGUAGAUGUUGCCAGGUGGACUCUGCACCCACAGAACGUGUACUGGCCAUCUCAUGGGACAGGCACUGAUGGAGCUUGCUCAGGAACCAGAAAAGGUCUUCCUUCUGAGUCUACCCAAAGGGCACCAUCCAGCUUAAAGGAGAGGCAUGAUGGAAAGA
Molecule: long non-coding RNA, 275 nt
Organism: Choloepus didactylus (southern two-toed sloth)
Lineage: Eukaryota; Metazoa; Chordata; Mammalia; Pilosa; Megalonychidae
Exons: 3
Source: RefSeq, a predicted model, not a curated record